Molecule: non-coding RNA, 30 nt
Filed under: Homo sapiens (human)
Lineage: Eukaryota; Metazoa; Chordata; Mammalia; Primates; Hominidae
Source: RNAcentral
UCUAGAAGAGAAGGGGAAGAAAUUGUCUUC